This 467-nucleotide ribosomal RNA is filed under the name Acanthamoeba genotype T4. RNAcentral describes it as "SSU rRNA". It matches the Rfam family "Eukaryotic small subunit ribosomal RNA", at positions 737 to 1097 of the family's 1831-position model. Lineage: Eukaryota; Discosea; Longamoebia; Acanthamoebidae. The record is from RNAcentral.
UGGGGCCCAGAUCGUUUACCGUGAAAAAAUUAGAGUGUUCAAAGCAGGCAGAUCCAAUUUUCUGCCACCGAAUACAUUAGCAUGGGAUAAUGGAAUAGGACCCUGUCCUCCUAUUUUCAGUUGGUUUUGGCAGCGCGAGGACUAGGGUAAUGAUUAAUAGGGAUAGUUGGGGGCAUUAAUAUUUAAUUGUCAGAGGUGAAAUUCUUGGAUUUAUGAAAGAUUAACUUCUGCGAAAGCAUCUGCCAAGGAUGUUUUCAUUAAUCAAGAACGAAAGUUAGGGGAUCGAAGACGAUCAGAUACCGUCGUAGUCUUAACCAUAAACGAUGCCGACCAGCGAUUAGGAGACGUUGAAUACAAAACACCACCAUCGGUUGCGGUCAUCCUUGGCGUCUCGGUUUCGGCCGGGGCGCGGGGAUGGCUUAGCCCGGUGGCACCGGUGAAUGACUCCCCUAGCAGCUUGUGAGAAA